Molecule: long non-coding RNA, 1632 nt
Organism: Impatiens glandulifera
Lineage: Eukaryota; Viridiplantae; Streptophyta; Magnoliopsida; Ericales; Balsaminaceae
Exons: 3
Source: RefSeq, a predicted model, not a curated record
UUUCUAGCUCUGGCGACAAAGGAUUGCAGCAAAUAUAUCUGUUGAAAUCUCACAUCCCAAAAUUUUCUCAAGAAAUCAUCAGCAAAGAUGCAAAUGAAAUUUUCGGGUGGGAAGUCUGGGUUAUCUUCUCUAAGCAUGAUAAAUGGAAAUGCUGGUAAAAUUUUCAUUGGAGAUAAUUCAAUGUUACAGCAACCAGAUAUAUGGUAUGAUGCGAAAAUAUGUGGUCCAGUUCCAUGAAUUAUGCUAGCAACUCCAGCUUUCUCUGUGAUCUAGUAUGACAUCCAUCCUUUCUACCUAGUGGGGGUCAUGACGGUGGGAUGUUGUAUUAGCAUCCUCUGUAGUGGUCACAGAAAAAAAAAUUCCAAUGGAGAUGGCAAGUUCUAUCAAUCUUUUGUUAUUUAAUCAUCGGAUGGACUUCCAAAAAUAUGGCAUUUUCACUUGGAAUUUUGAUUGUUUAUAAUUUAUAAUUAAAAUGUGGUCAAGGUAGACUACCAAGGCUAGAAAAUACGAAUAAUUGUUUUUGUUGUAUAAAUAGGGUUGAUCUCAAUACUAGAAAAUACUAAUCAUUGAUUUUGUUGUAGAAAUGGCGCUUAACAUCACACCAAAGGUAGAUAGUCGACAAAUUAUAACCGUUUUCAUUGAAGCAACUUUUAAGAGCUUUUCGUCAGGUUCUAUCAAUUAAGAUUGCAUAUAAUUGUGGCAUAAAAUGGAAAAGGUGGUUAUUUGGCGGCAUGUUGAUAAAAGCUCCACUAACUUGGUGAAAUUCUCUUAUGUUGGAAAUUACAUAUUUGAUAGAAGAGUACAUCAUUUCAUGUUUAUUGGUUUGUGAAUAUAGAAUUUUCUUUUUGAGAAAAUGUGUAUAGAUUUUAACUUUGUGGAAAUCUCUUAUGUUGGAAAUUACAUAAUUGAUAGAAGAGUACAGCAUUUCAUGGUUUAUUGGUUUGUGAAUAUAGAAUUUUCUUUUUGAGAAAAUGUGCAUAGAUUUUAACUUGGUGAAAUUCUCUUAUGUUGGAAAUUACAUAAUUUAUAGAAGAGUACAGCAUUUCAUGUUUUAUUGGUUUGUGAAUAUAGAACAUUCUUUUUGAGAAAAUGUGUAUUGAUUUUAUCUUUGCCAAAAUGGUACACCUAGCAAUUUCAUUAACAAAGCCACACCCACUAUAAUAAAAUGAGAAAGAAUGAAUGAAGUUGAGUGCAAAUUAUGGAUUAUUAUUUGAACUUUGGAUAAACUAAUGAAAAGUAGAUAAAUGAUGCGAUGAUGAUCCACAUUGCAUUUACAAACUUUAUACUACUAGUUUUGGUUACCCAAUUCCUUGUUGAAUUACUCACUUUUUGUAGCUCGUCACAUUUCUUUAGUUUUUCCCAUACUUAAUCCUAGUUAAAUCAGGCAGGCUCCAUUUUCAGAUGGAGAAGAAAGAGUUUGGAAGUCUUUGAUGAACAUAUAUUUGAUUCAACGUUAUGCUGUCUUAAUCCAAGCAACGGAACAAUUUGGUAGCAUUUGCCAACACAUACUGACGUGUCUUUCUGUUCAGACGCCUUUGCCCUCGCUUCAAGUUUGACACGCGUAAAUUUUUUAAAAUGCCAGUUAGCUAUAAAUCGGAGUCUUGCUCUUUAGGAUUAUCACAGUGGUUGGGU